CGGGGCUUACAAUAUGAGGCGGGCUGGACCUCUCGGGGUUACAGCCUUGCUGAAUUAUUCACCCUUGUCUUUUGCGUACUUCUUGUUUCCUUGGUGGGUUCGCCCACCACUAGGACAAACAUAAACCUUUUGUAAUUGCAAUCAGCGUCAGUAACAAAUUAAUAAUUACAACUUUCAACAACGGAUCUCUUGGUUCUGGCAUCGAUGAAGAACGCAGCGAAAUGCGAUAAGUAGUGUGAAUUGCAGAAUUCAGUGAAUCAUCGAAUCUUUGAACGCACAUUGCGCCCUUUGGUAUUCCAAAGGGCAUGCCUGUUCGAGCGUCAUUUGUACCCUCAAGCUUUGCUUGGUGUUGGGCGUCUUGUCUCUAGCUUUGCUGGAGACUCGCCUUAAAGUAAUUGGCAGCCGGCCUACUGGUUUCGGAGCGCAGCACAAGUCGCACUCUCUAUCAGCAAAGGUCUAGCAUCCAUUAAGCCUUUUUUUCAACUUUUGACCUCGGAUCAGGUAGGGAUACCCGCUGAACUUAAGCAUAUCAAUAAGCGGAGGAA
RNAcentral lists this ribosomal RNA (545 nucleotides) under Alternaria alternata. RNAcentral describes it as "eukaryotic LSU rRNA". The stretch from base 170 to 323 matches the Rfam family "5.8S ribosomal RNA". RNAcentral also lists the same sequence under 1 other name. The record is from RNAcentral. Lineage: Eukaryota; Fungi; Ascomycota; Dothideomycetes; Pleosporales; Pleosporaceae.